UGGCGGACGGGUGAGUAAUGUCUGGGAAACUGCCUGAUGGAGGGGGAUAACUACUGGAAACGGUAGCUAAUACCGCAUAACGUCGCAAGACCAAAGAGGGGGACCUUCGGGCCUCUUGCCACCGGAUGUGCCCAGAUGGGAUUAGCUAGUAGGUGGGGUAACGGCUCACCUAGGCGACGAUCCCUAGCUGGUCUGAGAGGAUGACCAGCCACACUGGAACUGAGACACGGUCCAG
RNAcentral lists this ribosomal RNA (235 nucleotides) under uncultured bacterium. RNAcentral describes it as "partial 16S ribosomal RNA". It matches the Rfam family "Bacterial small subunit ribosomal RNA", at positions 96 to 334 of the family's 1533-position model. The record is from RNAcentral.